ACCUGGUUGAUCCUGCCAGUAGUCAUAUGCUUGUUUCAAGGACUAAGCCAUGCAAGUCUCAGAGUAAAUGGAUCACAGUAGGUCUGGAGACAGGUCAUUAAAUCAGCUUCAAUCUACGGGGAGAAACUGGCUCUUGGGAGACUAUUGGAUAACUUUGGUAACCCCAAAGGUAAUACAUGUCAGUAAAACCCGACAGGUUCCACCCCGUGGGUUGGUGGUGGGGGUGUGGUGGGUGGAAUUGACCAAACAAAAACAACGCCAGGAAUGGGAGGGGUGAUUGGAUGAUUCAGGUCAUCGAGUAGUAGCGGAUACUUCGGUGGCGGUUGUCCGCAUGAGAAUCUGCCCUAUCAGCUUUUGACGGUAGUGUAGUGGACUACCGUGGCUGUAACGGGUAACGGGGAAUUAGGGUUCGAUUCCGGAGAGGGAGCUGAGAAACGGGUACCACAACUAAGGUUGGCAGCAGGCGCGCAAAUUGCCCCAUAGCAACACAUCGCUGAGGCAGCGAAGAGAAAUAGCAACUUCAUGCGGGCCUGCCGUGUGAAGAUUGCCAUGGACGAUAUCUAAACCUGUCGGUGAGUAUCAAUUGGUGGACAAGUCUGGUGCCAGCACCCGCGGUAAUUCCAGCACCAAUAGCGUAUAUUAAUGCUGCUGCUGUUAAAAAGCUCGUAGUUGGAUCAAGAGUCGGACAGUGCAAGGUGGGCCCACUUGGCCCGCGUGGUUACGGUCACAAAGGGCGGUGGCGGAUCAACCCCUUGGCGCCCAACUGUCCGCUCUAACAGGCCCGAAACGGUUCCCUGUGAGUAGGACCCUUCACGGGGUUCGAAAGCGCCUACGCAUCAACCAUAUGCCAUACGGGACGUCGGCCAAUGUUACUGUGAACAAACCAGCGUGUCCAAAGCAGGCCUUCGCCUGAAUGUUCGAGCAUGGAAUAACAAGGGAUCGAUUCUCUCGAUUCUUUUUGUUGGUUUUUAACCCGAGAAGGAGUAAUUCAGCUCACGGUGUCUGAGUUGGUUCCCCUGCCCUUCGGUGGAGCCCCAAUUAGCCCGUUCCUUCGGGAUCAAUAGGACGAGGGGCCCGUACGUACUUCCCCGUCAGAGGUGAAAUUCUUAGAUCCGGGGAAGACGAACUUCUCCGAAACCAUUGGCCAAGAAUGUCUUCAUUAAUCAAGAACGAGAGUGUGGGGAUCGAAGAUGAUCAGAUACCGUCGUAGUCCACUACUGUAAACAAUCCCGUCUCAGGAUUGAGAAGUGAACCAAAUGACUUUCACACCACUAACCCCUGAAACGAGAAAUCAAAGAUUAUGGGUUCAGGGGGGAGUACAUUCCCAAGGCUGAAACUUAA
Molecule: ribosomal RNA, 1341 nt
Filed under: uncultured marine diplonemid
Lineage: Eukaryota; Euglenozoa; Diplonemea
Description: SSU rRNA
Rfam family: Eukaryotic small subunit ribosomal RNA
Source: RNAcentral